This 518-nucleotide ribosomal RNA is filed under the name Barnettozyma xylosica. RNAcentral's name for it is "partial large subunit ribosomal RNA". It matches the Rfam family "Eukaryotic large subunit ribosomal RNA", at positions 124 to 647 of the family's 3401-position model. Lineage: Eukaryota; Fungi; Ascomycota; Saccharomycetes; Phaffomycetales; Phaffomycetaceae. The record is from RNAcentral.
GGCUGCUUUUUGGUAGCCCGAGUUGUAAUUUGAAGAACGGUUCUUGGAGAGGCGCCUUGUCUAUGUUCCUUGGAACAGGACGUCGCAGAGGGUGAGAAUCCCGUUUGGCGAGGUGUGCUGAUCCGUGUGAGGGCCGUUCGACGAGUCGAGUUGUUUGGGAAUGCAGCUCUAAGUGGGUGGUAAAUUCCAUCUAAAGCUAAAUAUUGGCGAGAGACCGAUAGCGAACAAGUACAGUGAUGGAAAGAUGAAAAGAACUUUGAAAAGAGAGUGAAAAAGUACGUGAAAUUGUUGAAAGGGAAGGUUAUUAGAUCAGACUUGGACGGGAGCUAUACUUGUCCCCUUGUGGGGCAUUCACUAGCUUCCAUUCCAGGCCAGCAUCGAUUGGGGCGGCGUGAAAAAGAGGGAGGAAUGUGGCCUGUGCUUCGGCACUUGUGUUUAUAGCCUCUCUUCAUAGCGCCUGGCUCGAUCGAGGACUGCGGCCGUAAGGCCUAGGAUGCUGGCGUAAUGAUCUAAUAUCG